GGCGCAUUAGUCAAUCGGUUAAGACGCUGCCUUCUCAAGGCAGAAUGAGGGGUUCGACUCCCCUAUGCGCUA
Molecule: non-coding RNA, 72 nt
Organism: Candidatus Daviesbacteria bacterium
Lineage: Bacteria; Candidatus Daviesiibacteriota
Source: Rfam